UGUAAAUGUAAAAUUUUAACUGGGGUAGUAAUAGUUAUGUUCUUGAAACCCAAAGAAUUUGGCGGUAUUUUAGUCCUUUCAGAGGAAUCUGUCCCGUAAUCGACAGCCCACGAGAUAAUGUACUUAUUCUUGUAUUCAGUUUGUAUACCUCCGUCAUAAGAAGAUCUUUUUAGAGAUAAAAUUUUCUUAAUAUAUUAAGUAUAAAAUGUCAGGUCAAGGUGCAAUUUAUGGAUAAGUGGAGAUGGAUUACAAUAAAUUUAUUUAAAUGGAUUGAAUUAUUUAAUUUUUUUUAUGAAGGUGGAUUUGAUAGUAAUUUUAAUUAUUUAUUAUUAUGAUUUUGGCUCUAAAAUAUGC
This 354-nucleotide ribosomal RNA is filed under the name Stylurus scudderi. RNAcentral describes it as "partial 12S ribosomal RNA". The record is from RNAcentral. Lineage: Eukaryota; Metazoa; Arthropoda; Insecta; Odonata; Gomphidae.